AACUCUUGGGGCGCAAAGCAUGAUUAUGAGUACAGGUGUGUGACGGAGUUCACCACGCCCACACGCGUGACCACGCCCACAGCGGUUUGCCAACACAUUUCCUAGGUAACAGAGCAGCUGAUCUACACCUGAUUCAUUCUUCCAAGCGCGGACAUUAUGAGGAGAGUCUGUUUGAAGUAAGAGUGUUUCCUGGUCAGUGCAGUUUAGUUUUGUUUGCUGAAGUGAGUGGAAAGGCAGAACUUAGAUGAAAAGAUUCAGCUGUAAAUAAAAGAGGAAAUAAAUCCAUUCAGCUGGUGAUUUAAGACUGGAUCCUGCUCAUCGAAAUCCGCUUUACCGCCAAGAACGUCACACACCUUCCUGCUGUCUUUGUAUCGCCAAUGCACCGUCUGCAGCUUCUCUCCAAAUGUACACGUUUGAAUGCUGCUCUUUGAAACUGGCUUCACCACCACUGAUGUCACACACUGUCCUGGUGCCUUCGUCUCGCGAAAACACGACCUGCGGAUUCUGUGUGAAAGUACACGGUUUGUGUGAAUCUUAACACCUUAUCAGAUGACUCCUGGUCACAUUCCUGCUGUAGAAGAAGCUCUAGGAGGAUGGUACAGAAAUUAUUUACUCCAAAUCAGCUAUUUACUCCAUAAUAAACAAUUAUUACAGUAGAAAAUAAAUACAUAAUAAAUAAUUACAGAUUAGUAGUUGUAAAUAUAAAGAUGAAAACAUGGGCAAAAUCUCAGAAUUGUACUUUUUAUAUAAAUCUACUGUGUUAUAAUGCAACUGAUGAUGUAAAUUCCAUGAAGCUGUACUUUAUUCUACAAACUUAGUUUUGUGGAUUGAUGAGUAGCAGUCUACAUGUCUUCUUUUAUUCUGCUCUGAUGUGGCAAAAACAGGAGAGUCGUAGAUAGAGCUGGAGAAAAGAAGAAAGUCAGGACAGAAUGUUGGACCAUUUUUAAAGAAGAGAAUUAAAAAAUGCUAACUAGAUAGAUAUUUUUGUCUAUUUACUAAUGCAGCAGGCUAACAUUUUAUUCAAACCGAAACCUGUAUCAGCCAGCUGUUGCAACCUUGCAUUUAUAAUUUGAACAGCACUGCCUAAAAGAAGAAGGUUAAUGUAAUGUUAGUAAGGUAAGUGUCCUUGUAAUAGAAUAAAAAUAUAUUCUUAAGCCCUACGGUUAUCUAAGUGUCAUAUCCUACUUAAAGAGAACUGUACUGUUCUCAGGUCAGUGACAAAAUAAAAACAAACACAUU
Long non-coding RNA from Ictalurus furcatus (blue catfish), 1239 nucleotides. RefSeq lists it as uncharacterized. The record is from RefSeq and is a predicted model, not a curated record. The transcript is spliced from 4 exons. NCBI's taxonomy places the organism in Eukaryota, Metazoa, Chordata, Actinopteri, Siluriformes, Ictaluridae.